RNAcentral lists this ribosomal RNA (157 nucleotides) under Phoma sp. Fanqin16. Its description in RNAcentral is "5.8S ribosomal RNA". The stretch from base 28 to 157 matches the Rfam family "5.8S ribosomal RNA", at positions 1 to 130 of the family's 154-position model. Rfam says of the family: 5.8S ribosomal RNA (5.8S rRNA) is a component of the large subunit of the eukaryotic ribosome. The record is from RNAcentral. Lineage: Eukaryota; Fungi; Ascomycota; Dothideomycetes; Pleosporales; Didymellaceae.
UCAGCGUCUGAAAAACAUAAUAGUUACAACUUUCAACAACGGAUCUCUUGGUUCUGGCAUCGAUGAAGAACGCAGCGAAAUGCGAUAAGUAGUGUGAAUUGCAGAAUUCAGUGAAUCAUCGAAUCUUUGAACGCACAUUGCGCCCCUUGGUAUUCCA